Molecule: ribosomal RNA, 498 nt
Filed under: uncultured bacterium
Lineage: Bacteria
Description: partial 16S ribosomal RNA
Rfam family: Bacterial small subunit ribosomal RNA
Source: RNAcentral
AUUGAACGCUGGCGGCAUGCCUUACACAUGCAAGUCGAACGGUAACAGGUCUUCGGAUGCUGACGAGUGGCGAACGGGUGAGUAAUACAUCGGAACGUGCCUAGUAGUGGGGGAUAACUACUCGAAAGAGUGGCUAGUACCGCAUGAGAUCUACGGAUGAAAGCAGGGGAUCGCAAGACCUUGUGCUACUAGAGCGGCCGAUGGCAGAUUAGGGAGUUGGUGGGAUAAAAGCUUACCAAGCCGACGAUCUGUAGCUGGUCUGAGAGGACGAUCAGCCACACUGGGACUGAGACACGGCCCAGACUCCUACGGGAGGCAGCAGUGGGGAAUUUUGGACAAUGGGCGAAAGCCUGAUCCAGCAAUGCCGCUUGCAGGAUGAAGGCCUUCGGGUUGUAAACUGCUUUUGUACGGAACGAAAAGCCCCGGGUUAAUACCCUGGGGUCAUGACGGUACCGUAAGAAUAAGCACCGGCUAACUACGUGCCAGCCGCCGCCGUAA